Molecule: ribosomal RNA, 291 nt
Filed under: uncultured eukaryote
Lineage: Eukaryota
Description: partial 18S ribosomal RNA
Rfam family: Eukaryotic small subunit ribosomal RNA
Source: RNAcentral
GGUUGAUCCUGCCAGUAGUCAUAUGCUUGUCCUAAAGAUUAAGCCAUGCAUGUCCAAGUAUGAACACAAGUACGGUGAAACUGCGAAAGGCUCAAUACAACAGUUAUAAUUCAUUUGAUCGUGCAGACUACAGGGAUAACCGUGGUAAUUCUAUGGCUAAUACGUGCUAACAGCCCUCGCGCAAUGCGCAGGGGCAGCAUUUAUUGGAUCAAAACCAACCAGAGUUGGCGAGACAGGAUAACUGAGCGGAUCGCAGGCUUCGGCCAGCGACGGAUCAUUCAAAUGUCUGCC